CUCUUCGGGGAUGAUUAAACCGGCGCACGGGUGAGUAACACGUGAGUGACCUGCCUUUUAGACUGGAACAACUUACCGAAAGGUGAGCUAAUGCCGGAUGAGUUAUAUAAGUGCAUGUUUAUAUAGGAAAAGUUGGGGAGACCUGACGCUGAAAGAUGGACUCGCGUCCCAUUAGCUAGUUGGUAGGGUAAUGGCCUACCAAGGCGACGAUGGGUAGCCGGCCUGAGAGGGUGGCCGGCCACACUGGGACUGAGACACGGCCCAGACUCCUACGGGAGGCAGCAGUGGGGAAUUUUGCGCAAUGCUCAUAAGAGUGACGCAGCGACGCCGCGUGAAUGACGAAGGCCUUCGGGUCGUAAAGUUCUUUCGACAGGGAAGAAAAUGCCUAUAAGUAACUGUGUAUGUAUUGACGGUACCUGUAUAAGCAGCCCCGGCUAACUCCGUGCCAGCAGCCGCGGUAAUACGGAGGGGGCGAGCGUUGUUCGGAGUGACUGGGCGUAAAGAGCACGUAGGCGGUGUUGUAAGUCAUUAGUCAAAGACUAGAGCUCAACUUUAGUAAGGCUAGUGAUACUAUAAUACUAGAGUAUCAGAGAGGAUUGCAGAAUCCCUGGUGUAGCGGUGAAAUGCGUAGAUAUCAGGAGGAAUACCGUUAGCGAAGGCGGCAAUCUGGCUGGAAACUGACGCUGAGGUGCGAAAGCGUGNGUAGCAAACAGGAUUAGAUACCCUGGUAGUNCACGCUGUAAACGAUGGAUGCUAGGUGUUGGGCUUUUAAGUUCAG
RNAcentral lists this ribosomal RNA (778 nucleotides) under uncultured bacterium. RNAcentral's name for it is "bacterial SSU rRNA". It matches the Rfam family "Bacterial small subunit ribosomal RNA", at positions 76 to 843 of the family's 1533-position model. The record is from RNAcentral.